GGGUCAAUCUCCCAUCCUACUACAUAAAAGGAGGCAAAGUUCACCAGUGCAGUGCUCCCAUUCUGAAAUAGAACCUUCUUCUCAGGUGCAAAUCCACACUAUGAAAAUGGAUGUUAUGAAAGUGUCAGCUUUGAGGUGGGGACAGUCCCACAGCAUGGGCUGUCAUCUGGCAGGGGCUUCAAUCUCCAAGAAAUACCGAGGAUCUCACACAAGCUCACACAGGAGCCACCAGGACCAGCUUUCAGUCACCAAGAAGAGGAAAGUACCUCUGGAGACAUUCAGAAGAUGGAGCUAUCACCCGAAGAGGUUUCAAAAAGGCAGGCCGGGUUGUAGUAUGUAUUAACACACCAGCACUAUUUAGGGGAAUUUUUUAAAAUUUUGGUUCUCAUUAACUAAAUAAAAUGGAAUCAUGCUAGUCA
Long non-coding RNA from Parus major (Great Tit), 419 nucleotides. RefSeq lists it as uncharacterized. The transcript is spliced from 2 exons. NCBI's taxonomy places the organism in Eukaryota, Metazoa, Chordata, Aves, Passeriformes, Paridae. The record is from RefSeq and is a predicted model, not a curated record.